GAUUAUGGCUCAGGAUGAACGCUGGCGGCGUGCUUAACACAUGCAAGUCGAACGGAGCCAAAAGGAAGCUUGCUUCUUUGAAGCUUAGUGGCGGACGGGUGAGUAACGCGUGAGCAACCUGCCCUUCAGUGGGGAAUAACACAGAGAAAUCUGUGCUAAUACCGCAUAACGUCUUCUUGCCGCAUGACAGGAAGACCAAAGGAUUUAUUCGCUGAAGGAUGGGCUCGCGUCCGAUUAGGCAGUUGGUGAGGUAACGGCUCACCAAACCAACGAUCGGUAGCCGAACUGAGAGGUUGAUCGGCCACAUUGGGACUGAGACACGGCCCAGACUCCUACGGGAGGCAGCAGUGGGGAAUAUUGGGCAAUGGGCGAAAAAGCCUGACCCAGCAACGCCGCGUGAAGGAAGACGGUCUUCGGAUUGUAAACUUCUUUGAUUGGGGAAGAACAAAAUGACCUACCCAAAGAACAAGUCACGGCUAACUACGUGCCAGCCGCAGC
This 498-nucleotide ribosomal RNA is filed under the name uncultured bacterium. RNAcentral's name for it is "bacterial SSU rRNA". It matches the Rfam family "Bacterial small subunit ribosomal RNA", at positions 15 to 518 of the family's 1533-position model. The record is from RNAcentral.